Molecule: ribosomal RNA, 2901 nt
Filed under: Salmonella enterica subsp. enterica
Lineage: Bacteria; Pseudomonadati; Pseudomonadota; Gammaproteobacteria; Enterobacterales; Enterobacteriaceae
Description: 23S ribosomal RNA
Rfam family: Bacterial large subunit ribosomal RNA
Source: RNAcentral
GGUUAAGCGACUAAGCGUACACGGUGGAUGCCCUGGCAGUCAGAGGCGAUGAAGGGCGUGCUAAUCUGCGAUAAGCGCCGGUAAGGUGAUAUGAACCGUUAUAACCGGCGAUACCCGAAUGGGGAAACCCAGUGUGACUCGUCACACUAUCAUUAACUGAAUCCAUAGGUUAAUGAGGCGAACCGGGGGAACUGAAACAUCUAAGUACCCCGAGGAAAAGAAAUCAACCGAGAUUCCCCCAGUAGCGGCGAGCGAACGGGGAGGAGCCCAGAGCCUGAAUCAGCAUGUGUGUUAGUGGAAGCGUCUGGAAAGGCGCGCGAUACAGGGUGACAGCCCCGUACACAAAAGCGCAUGUGCUGUGAGCUCGAUGAGUAGGGCGGGACACGUGGUAUCCUGUCUGAAUAUGGGGGGACCAUCCUCCAAGGCUAAAUACUCCUGACUGACCGAUAGUGAACCAGUACCGUGAGGGAAAGGCGAAAAGAACCCCGGCGAGGGGAGUGAAAAAGAACCUGAAACCGUGUACGUACAAGCAGUGGGAGCACAGGUUUACCUGUGUGACUGCGUACCUUUUGUAUAAUGGGUCAGCGACUUAUAUUCUGUAGCAAGGUUAACCGUAUAGGGGAGCCGGAGGGAAACCGAGUCUUAACCGGGCGUUAAGUUGCAGGGUAUAGACCCGAAACCCGGUGAUCUAGCCAUGGGCAGGUUGAAGGUUGGGUAACACUAACUGGAGGACCGAACCGACUAAUGUUGAAAAAUUAGCGGAUGACCUGUGGCUGGGGGUGAAAGGCCAAUCAAACCGGGAGAUAGCUGGUUCUCCCCGAAAGCUAUUUAGGUAGCGCCUCGUGAAUUCAUCUCCGGGGUAGAGCACUGUUUCGGCUAGGGGGCCAUCCCGGCUUACCAACCCGAUGCAAACUGCGAAUACCGGAGAAUGUUAUCACGGGAGACACACGGCGGGUGCUAACGUCCGUCGUGAAGAGGGAAACAACCCAGACCGCCAGCUAAGGUCCCAAAGUCAUGGUUAAGUGGGGAAACGAUGUGGGAAGGCCCAGACAGCGGGAUGUUGGCUUAGAAGCAGCCAUCAUUUAAAGAAAGCGUAAUAGCUCACUGGUCGAGUCGGCCUGCGCGGAAGAUGUAACGGGGCUAAACCCCAUGCACCGAAGCUGCGGCAGCGACACUGUGUGUUGUUGGGUAGGGGAGCGUUCUGUAAGCCUGUGAAGGUGUGUCGUGAGGCAUGCUGGAGGUAUCAGAAGUGCGAAUGCUGACAUAAGUAACGAUAAAGCGGGUGAAAAGCCCGCUCGCCGGAAGACCAAGGGUUCCUGUCCAACGUUAAUCGGGGCAGGGUGAGUCGACCCCUAAGGCGAGGCCGAAAGGCGUAGUCGAUGGGAAACGGGUUAAUAUUCCCGUACUUGGUGUUACUGCGAAGGGGACGGAGAAGGCUAUGUUGGCCGGGCGACGGUUGUCCCGGUUUAAGCGUGUAGGUGUGUGUUCCGGUAAAUCCGGUUCACUUUAACACUGAGGCGUGACGACGAGGCACUACGGUGCUGAAGCAACAAAUGCCCUGCUUCCGGGAAAAGCCUCUAAGCAUCAGGUAACAUCAAAUCGUACCCCAAACCGACACAGGUGGUCAGGUAGAGAAUACCAAGGCGCUUGAGAGAACUCGGGUGAAGGAACUAGGCAAAAUGGUGCCGUAACUUCGGGAGAAGGCACGCUGACACGUAGGUGAAGUGAUUUACUCAUGGAGCUGAAGUCAGUCGAAGAUACCAGCUGGCUGCAACUGUUUAUUAAAACACAGCACUGUGCAAACACGAAAGUGGACGUAUACGGUGUGACGCCUGCCCGGUGCCGGAAGGUUAAUUGAUGGGGUCAGCGCAAGCGAAGCUCCUGAUCGAAGCCCCGGUAAACGGCGGCCGUAACUAUAACGGUCCUAAGGUAGCGAAAUUCCUUGUCGGGUAAGUUCCGACCUGCACGAAUGGCGUAAUGAUGGCGGGCUGUCUCCACCCGAGACUCAGUGAAAUUGAACUCGCUGUGAAGAUGCAGUGUACCCGCGGCAAGACGGAAAGACCCCGUGAACCUUUACUAUAGCUUGACACUGAACAUUGAGCCUUGAUGUGUAGGAUAGGUGGGAGGCUUUGAAGCGUGGACGCCAGUCUGCGUGGAGCCGACCUUGAAAUACCACCCUUUAAUGUUUGAUGUUCUAACGUGGACCCGUAAUCCGGGUUGCGGACAGUGUCUGGUGGGUAGUUUGACUGGGGCGGUCUCCCUAAAAAGAGUAACGGAGGAGCACGAAGGUUGGCUAAUCUGGUCGGACAUCAGGAGGUUAGUGCAAUGGCAUAAGCCAGCUUGACUGCGAGCGUGACGGCGCGAGCAGGUGCGAAAGCAGGUCAUAGUGAUCCGGUGGUUCUGAAUGGAAGGGCCAUCGCUCAACGGAUAAAAGGUACUCCGGGGAUAACAGGCUGAUACCGCCCAAGAGUUCAUAUCGACGGCGGUGUUUGGCACCUCGAUGUCGGCUCAUCACAUCCGGGGCUGAAGUAGGUCCCAAGGGUAUGGCUGUUCGCCAUUUAAAGUGGUACGCGAGCUGGGUUUAGAACGUCGUGAGACAGUUCGGUCCCUAUCUGCCGUGGGCGCUGGAGAACUGAGGGGGGCUGCUCCUAGUACGAGAGGACCGGAGUGGACGCAUCACUGGUGUUCGGGUUGUCAUGCCAAUGGCACUGCCCGGUAGCUAAAUGCGGAAGAGAUAAGUGCUGAAAGCAUCUAAGCACGAAACUUGCCCCGAGAUGAGUUCUCCCUGAGACUUAGAGUCUCCUGAAGGAACGUUGAAGACGACGACGUUGAUAGGCCGGGUGUGUAAGCGCAGCGAUGCGUUGAGCUAACCGGUACUAAUGAACCGUGAGGCUUAACCUU